AGACCACUCCUCCAUGCACACAAUGCUGCGUAUAUUGACAAACGCGGUGGCCACCGCCACCAGCAGCAUCUCAGUGAUCGCCUCACAGCGCCCCGUCUUCCCGCCUAAACCGUGAGGUGAACACAGAAAUGUAAACAGGCGGCCAUGGCACUCUAUAGGUGCCCGACUGAGUCUAUGGUUGCUGCUGAUCUAUUCCGGAUUCUUUGCAGACACUUCCUAUUUACUCUAAAAGGGGGACAUUCUGAACUAGUAUUGGCAGCAAUAAACCAUGCAAGAGACAGGGACACCCCGGAACAGUCCAAACAGAAGCACAGAGCUGUGUGUCUCGUGUCUGGGGGGAAUU
Rana temporaria (common frog) is the source of this 343-nucleotide long non-coding RNA. RefSeq lists it as uncharacterized. The record is from RefSeq and is a predicted model, not a curated record. Lineage: Eukaryota; Metazoa; Chordata; Amphibia; Anura; Ranidae. The transcript is spliced from 3 exons.